UGGGGAAUUUUGGACAAUGGGCGCAAGCCUGAUCCAGCCAUGCCGCGUGCAGGAUGAAGGCCUUCGGGUUGUAAACUGCUUUUGUACGGAACGAAAAGGUGCCUUCUAAUAAAGGGCGCUCAUGACGGUACCGUAAGAAUAAGCACCGGCUAACUUCGUGCCAGCAGCCGCGGUAAUACGAAGGGUGCAAGCGUUACUCGGAAUUACUGGGCGUAAAGCGUGCGUAGGUGGUUGUUUAAGUCUGAUGUGAAAGCCCUGGGCUCAACCUGGGAAUGGCAUUGGAAACUGGGCAGCUAGAGUGCGGUAGAGGGUAGUGGAAUUCCCGGUGUAGCAGUGAAAUGCGUAGAGAUCGGGAGGAACAUCUGUGGCGAAGGCGACUGCCUGGACCAGCACUGACACUGAGGCACGAAAGCGUGGGGAGCAAACA
RNAcentral lists this ribosomal RNA (427 nucleotides) under uncultured bacterium. RNAcentral's name for it is "bacterial SSU rRNA". It matches the Rfam family "Bacterial small subunit ribosomal RNA", at positions 355 to 774 of the family's 1533-position model. The record is from RNAcentral.